GUGGGGAAUAUUGCGCAAUGGCCGAAAGGCUGACGCAGCGACGCCGCGUGUGGGAUGACGGCCUUCGGGUUGUAAACCACUGUCGGGAGGAACGAAUACCGGACGUCGAAUAGGCGAUCCGGGGUGACGGUACCUCCAAAGGAAGCACCGGCUAACUCCGUGCCAGCAGCCGCGGUAAUACGGAGGGUGCGAGCGUUGUCCGGAAUCACUGGGCGUAAAGGGCGCGUAGGCGGCUCAUUAAGUGGCUGGUGAAAUCCCGGGGCUCAACUCCGGGGCUGCCGGUCAGACUGGUGGGCUCGAGCACGGUAGAGGCGGAUGGAAUUCCCGGUGUAGCGGUGGAAUGCGUAGAGAUCGGGAAGAAUACCGGUGGCGAAGGCGUUCCGCUGGGCCGUUGCUGACGCUGAGGCGCGACAGCGUGGGGAGCAAACAGGAUUAGAAACCCGGGUAGUCC
This 451-nucleotide ribosomal RNA is filed under the name uncultured bacterium. RNAcentral describes it as "bacterial SSU rRNA". It matches the Rfam family "Bacterial small subunit ribosomal RNA", at positions 354 to 796 of the family's 1533-position model. The record is from RNAcentral.